GACGAACGCUGGCGGCGUGCCUAAUACAUGCAAGUUGAGCGCUGAAGGUUGGUACUUGUACCAACUGGAUGAGCAGCGAACGGGUGAGUAACGCGUGGGGAAUCUGCCUUUGAGCGGGGGACAACACUUGGAAACGAAUGCUAAUACCACAUAAAAACUUUAAACACAAGUUUUAAGUUUGAAAGAUGCAAUUGCAUCACUCAAAGAUGAUCCCGCGUUGGAUUAGCUAGUUGGUGAGGUAAAGGCGCACCAAGGCGAUGAUACAUAGCCGACCUGAGAGGGUGAUCGGCCACAUUGGGACUGAGACACGGCCCAAACUCCUACGGGAGGCAGCAGUAGGGAAUCUUCGGCAAUGGACGAAAGUCUGACCGAGCAACGCCGCGUGAGUGAAGAAGGUUUUCGGAUCGUAAAACUCUGUUGGUAGAGAAGAACGUUGGUGAGAGUGGAAAGCUCAUCAAGUGACGGUAACUACCCAGAAAGGGACGGCUAACUACGUGCCAGCCGCCGCCGUAA
This 513-nucleotide ribosomal RNA is filed under the name uncultured bacterium. RNAcentral describes it as "partial 16S ribosomal RNA". It matches the Rfam family "Bacterial small subunit ribosomal RNA", at positions 28 to 523 of the family's 1533-position model. The record is from RNAcentral.